GACCCGGGGGCGGUACCCGGCGCCUCCACCAAAAGCCUAAGACCUGACAUUCAGGGAACUUAGGUUUUUCAUGGGGGCGAAAUAGGAUCGACGAGGGUGUAAAGGAUCUUCUUUUGCUCGGCAUGGUUCCGCCGUUAUCGGGCCGUUUGAUAGUUGCAAAUGACAACUACGCUGAGGCACGUCUAGCUGCGUAAGCGGUUCGACUGUUUCGAACUUAGUCCUGUAAGUUAGCGCUUGCAGGCGGGGUUCGGAGGCACCUGGCAACAGAAGCCUCCACU
RNAcentral lists this transfer-messenger RNA (278 nucleotides) under Rhodobiaceae bacterium. RNAcentral's name for it is "partial transfer-messenger RNA". It matches the Rfam family "Alphaproteobacteria transfer-messenger RNA", at positions 89 to 355 of the family's 355-position model. From Rfam's summary of the family: Bacterial tmRNA, also known as 10Sa RNA or SsrA, is named for its dual tRNA and mRNA-like properties. Its role is to liberate the mRNA from a stalled ribosome. Lineage: Bacteria; Pseudomonadati; Pseudomonadota; Alphaproteobacteria; Hyphomicrobiales; Rhodobiaceae. The record is from RNAcentral.